CACGUAGUUAGCCGGUGCUUAUUCUGCGGGUACCGUCAUCGAACCAUGGUAUCAGCACGGCCCUUUUCGUUCCCGCCAAAAGUGCUUUACAACCCGAAGGCCUUCAUCACACACGCGGCAUUGCUGGAUCAGGCUUUCGCCCAUUGUCCAAAAUUCCCCACUGCUGCCUCCCGUAGGAGUCUGGGCCGUGUCUCAGUCCCAGUGUGGCUGGUCGUCCUCUCAGACCAGCUACAGAUCGUCGCCUUGGUAGGCCUUUACCCCACCAACUAGCUAAUCUGCCAUCGGCCGCUCCAAUAGCGCGAGGUCCGAAGAUCCCCCGCUUUCACCCUCAGGUCGUAUGCGGUAUUAAUCCGGCUUUCGCCGAGCUAUCCCCCACUACUGGGCACGUUCCGAUGUAUUACUCACCCGUUCGCCACUCGCCGCCAGGCCGAAGCCCGCGCUGCCGUUCGACUUGCAUGUGUAAAGCAUGCCGCCAGCGUUCAAUCUGAGCCAGAUCAA
This 498-nucleotide ribosomal RNA is filed under the name uncultured Comamonadaceae bacterium. RNAcentral's name for it is "partial 16S ribosomal RNA". The record is from RNAcentral. Lineage: Bacteria; Pseudomonadati; Pseudomonadota; Betaproteobacteria; Burkholderiales; Comamonadaceae.